GGCCUUAUGGUCUAGUAGCAUGAUUCCUGCUUUGGGUUCAUCUCAUAUGCAGGAGGUCCUGGGUUCAACUCCCAGUGAGGCCC
Non-coding RNA from Tricholoma furcatifolium, 83 nucleotides. Lineage: Eukaryota; Fungi; Basidiomycota; Agaricomycetes; Agaricales; Tricholomataceae. The record is from the annotation of a GenBank genome assembly.